CAUUCACUGAAACCUAAGUAGCUACAUCUUUACCAUACCUUAACUUCUCUCUGGAGUACAAAAAGCAUAUAAUGUCCAUUUGGGUCACCCAGGAAUGAGCCCACAGUCGCUUUUCCCCCUGUUUUAAGUUUCUUCAGCACAAAAGCGCUUUCAUCAUGCAAAGCGCUUCUGUAGCCGUGAUUCUCAGAUUCUAUCCUCUUCCCCCGCGAUGACCUACGAACUCACGCGAGGACGCGGACGAUGAUUGGUCGGUGACUAACCUGUAGUGUUGCCAGUCCCCCGAGAACGACGCAAAACGAAAAUAACUGCUUAAUCUGACAUAGUGAACAUUGUGAGGGACAAAAAUGUUGUGUAGUCUGAGCUUGGCAUAACACUAACUUUACCUGGUGCAGAUGCGCUCACUGCACUGCCGUGCUGACUGCAACCGAGUGGAUUUGCUGUCAGGAGGCUAACGUGAACCAUUUGCUCUGAUAUCGUCCCUGCAGAACCCUGAGCAGAACUUUUCAGAUGCUUUUCCAAGAGCGAGAAGUUUUGGAGGUGUCUAUACUCUCUCUACGUGAGUUCCGUGCAGAAACCCUGGAGCCCGUCAACAGCAGUGCUCUCGCUCAUCAUGUUGUGGGUUGAAGGAAGCUCUCUGUGGAAGAGCUGCAGAGAUCUCACUUCCCAGAGCUGCACUGUGGGUGCUGGGUGUCACAUGACAAAUACUCUCCCAGAGCUGUGCAGAAGACCAACCCCAGCAUUCCAGAGCUGUCACCAGUAACUAAGGCGCUGUUGACUGACGGCUGGUAACCGGAGCUG
This 798-nucleotide long non-coding RNA is filed under the name Astyanax mexicanus (Mexican tetra). RNAcentral's name for it is "lncRNA (ENSAMXG00005015278.1)". The record is from RNAcentral. Lineage: Eukaryota; Metazoa; Chordata; Actinopteri; Characiformes; Acestrorhamphidae.